This 1088-nucleotide long non-coding RNA is filed under the name Pan troglodytes (chimpanzee). RNAcentral's name for it is "lincRNA". The record is from RNAcentral. Lineage: Eukaryota; Metazoa; Chordata; Mammalia; Primates; Hominidae.
AUCCGCUCCGGGCGCUGCCGCCGGAAGGGCCAGCGACGGAGGGUCUCAGAUGGCGGGGCUGGAGGCCCACCUGGGCUCUCGGGCUGGCGAGUCCCGUUGGGGAGCCCUUGUGCCUGCUAGGAUAUUUAGCAGAUGCCAGGCGGCCAGAAACGUCCUCACUUUUCUCCCUCGGCCCUCUGGGGAACCGCCGUGAGCGUUUCCCACGGACACAAACUUAACAGGCCCAGAACGUCCAGGGAGGACGCGUUGUGAACCUCAAAGAGCCCACUUACGUGACCGACAGCACCAGGCCGACGGGCACUCGCUGAACUGCUGGCCCGGAGCAGCACAGCUCUUAAGUGGGCAGUGGCAUCUUUUAUACAAAUAAAGUAAGGUGGCCCCACGUCCCUAAAACAACAGCUUGCUGAAGAGAGAUCGCAAAGCAUCCCCCACUCCAGCUCGGGUCUGACUCCAAAGCCCUUCUGCUUUAGAAAGUGUGACUAUUUCUGCUGUAGAAAACCGGUAUCUAGGCCGGGCGCGGUGGCUCACGCCUGUAAUCCCAGCACUUGGGAGGCCGAGAUCUAUUGAAAACAGCUGGGCACCGUGGCUCACACCUGGAAUCCCAGCUGAGGCAGGAGGCUCCCUUGAGCCCAGGAAUUGAAGGGUGCAGUAAGCUAUGAUUGUGUCACUGCACUCCAGCCUGGGAAACAGUGCAAGACCUUGCAUAUUAGAAAAAAGUUUCUGGCAAGUAUACCAAAAGUCUUAACUAAGAUUUGCUAAAUGAAUAUUAAUUAAAUAACCUAACGGCAAGUACAUGGGGAAGUUGGAGGAUCUAGAACCUGACUUCCUUCACACCAACUAUUCCUGCAUUUAGCAGGUAAAAGCCUGAUAGCAUGAUUGAGUGGAAACAUGAAGGGACAAGGGUUUGGCUAGUUAUGUUUAUAAAAAGUCAACAUAGGAAUUGAGUCAAGAUACCAGAAACUCUACUUAUAGUAAGAUCCCAAUUUGCAAAACCGGAGAAUGGAAGCGUACAGAACUGUACCUUCUCCUCAAUUUUGCUGUGAAUGUAAACUUCCUCUAACACAUAAAAUGUAUUUUAAAGAAAAAAA